GGGUUGUGAGGUUAAGCGACUAAGCGUACACGGUGGAUGCCCUGGCAGUCAGAGGCGAUGAAGGACGUGCUAAUCUGCGAUAAGCGUCGGUGAGGUGAUAUGAACCGUUAUAACCGGCGAUUUCCGAAUGGGGAAACCCAGUGUGUUUCGACACACUAUCAUUAACUGAAUCCAUAGGUUAAUGAGGCGAACCGGGGGAACUGAAACAUCUAAGUACCCCGAGGAAAAGAAAUCAACCGAGAUUCCCCCAGUAGCGGCGAGCGAACGGGGAGGAGCCCAGAGCCUGAAUCAGUGUGUGUGUUAGUGGAAGCGUCUGGAAAGGCGUGCGAUACAGGGUGACAGCCCCGUACACAAAAAUGCACAUAUUGUGAGCUCGAUGAGUAGGGCGGGACA
This 393-nucleotide ribosomal RNA is filed under the name Escherichia coli. RNAcentral describes it as "partial 23S ribosomal RNA". It matches the Rfam family "Bacterial large subunit ribosomal RNA", at positions 1 to 424 of the family's 2925-position model. The record is from RNAcentral. Lineage: Bacteria; Pseudomonadati; Pseudomonadota; Gammaproteobacteria; Enterobacterales; Enterobacteriaceae.